GCCUACGGGGCGCAGCAGUGGGGAAUAUUGCACAAUGGGGGAAACCCUGAUGCAGCAACGCCGCGUGAAGGAAGACGGUUUUCGGAUUGUAAACUUCUGUUCUUAGUGAAGAAAAAUGACGGUAGCUAAGGAGCAAGCCACGGCUAACUACGUGCCAGCAGCCGCGGUAAUACGUAGGUGGCAAGCGUUGUCCGGAAUUACUGGGUGUAAAGGGAGCGUAGACGGCUAGUCAAGUCAGAAGUGAAAGCCCAGGGCUCAACCUUGGGACUGCUUUUGAAACUGAGUAGCUAGAGUGCAGGAGAGGG
This 305-nucleotide ribosomal RNA is filed under the name uncultured bacterium. RNAcentral describes it as "bacterial SSU rRNA". It matches the Rfam family "Bacterial small subunit ribosomal RNA", at positions 337 to 658 of the family's 1533-position model. The record is from RNAcentral.